This 305-nucleotide ribosomal RNA is filed under the name uncultured bacterium. Its description in RNAcentral is "bacterial SSU rRNA". It matches the Rfam family "Bacterial small subunit ribosomal RNA", at positions 335 to 637 of the family's 1533-position model. The record is from RNAcentral.
CCUCCUACGGGGGGCAGCAGUGAGGAAUAUUGGUCAAUGGGCGCAAGCCUGAACCAGCCAAGUCGCGUGAGGGAUGACGGUCCUAUGGAUUGUAAACCUCUUUUGUCGGGGAGCAAGGCCCGCCACGUGUGGCGGGAAGGAGAGUACCCGAAGAAAAAGCAUCGGCUAACUCCGUGCCAGCAGCCGCGGGAAUAAGGAGGAUGCGAGCGUUAUCCGGAAUUAUUGGGGUUAAAGGGGGCGUAGGCGGAAGGUUAAGUCAGCGGUCAAAUGUCGGUGCUCAACAACGGCCUGCCGUUGAAACUGGG